Molecule: ribosomal RNA, 430 nt
Filed under: uncultured bacterium
Lineage: Bacteria
Description: bacterial SSU rRNA
Rfam family: Bacterial small subunit ribosomal RNA
Source: RNAcentral
AACGAACGCUGGCGGCAGGCCUAACACAUGCAAGUCGAACGAACCUUCGGGUGAGUGGCGCACGGGUGCGUAACGCGUGGGAAUGUACCCCUAGGUGAGGAAUAACGUAGAGAAAUUUGCGCUAAUACCUCAUAAUAACUUCGGUUCAAAGAUUUAUCGCCUAGGGAUCAGCCCGCGUCAGAUUAGAUAGUUGGUGAGGUAACGGCUCACCAAGUCGACGAUCUGUAGGGGGUCUGAGAGGAUGAUCCCCCACACUGGUACUGAGACACGGACCAGACUCCUACGGGAGGCAGCAGUGAGGAAUAUUGGACAAUGGAGGCAACUCUGAUCCAGCCAUGCCGCGUGAGUGAAGAAGGCCUUAGGGUUGUAAAGCUCUUUCAAUUGCGAAGAUAAUGACGGUAACAAUAGAAGAAGCUCCGGCUAAAUUCGU